GAUGAACGCUGGCGGCGUGCUUAACACAUGCAAGUCGAACGAAGCACUUUAUUUGAUUUCCUUCGGACUGAUUUUUUUUUUACUUAGUUGCCGACGGGUGAGUUACCCCUGGGUUACCUUCCUUUUACAGGGGGGUUACAGUUUGGAACCGCCUCCUAUUACCCCUUAGCCCCCCGCAUCCCCUUAUGCCGUGUGAAAAACUUCGGUGGUAUAAGAUGGACCCGCGUUGGAUUAGCUAGUUGGUGAGGUAACGGCCCACCAAGGCGACGAUCCAUAGCCGACCUGAGAGGGUGACCGGCCACAUUGGGACUGAGACACGGCCCAAACUCCUACGGGAGGCAGCAGUGGGGAAUAUUGCACAAUGGGCGAAAGCCUGAUGCAGCGACGCCGCGUGAGCGAAGAAGUAUUUCGGUAUGUAAAGCUCUAUCAGCAGGGAAGAUAAUGACGGUACCUGACUAAGAAGCACCGGCUAAAUACGUG
RNAcentral lists this ribosomal RNA (480 nucleotides) under uncultured bacterium. RNAcentral describes it as "partial 16S ribosomal RNA". It matches the Rfam family "Bacterial small subunit ribosomal RNA", at positions 28 to 507 of the family's 1533-position model. The record is from RNAcentral.